Molecule: non-coding RNA, 88 nt
Organism: Pygocentrus nattereri (red-bellied piranha)
Lineage: Eukaryota; Metazoa; Chordata; Actinopteri; Characiformes; Serrasalmidae
Source: the annotation of a RefSeq genome assembly
GCCCGGAUGAACCUCGGUGGUUCGGGGUGCAGGCUUCAAACCUGUUGCUGCUUAGCGGCAGAGUGGUCAAUUCCACCUUUGUGGGGCA